UUCAGCUGUUGAGUUGUUGUUGUUGUUUGAGUUGUCAAUGUAAACAACUUAAAAGCUUGAAUUUAUCACAGAUAAAUAAUAAACACAUGAUGCAGAAGUUUGAAUAAUAAUUACAUGUUUUUAAGUUAAAAGAUACUACGACAUUUUAUAUACGCUUUCUAAAUGGUGACAAAUCGCUUAAAAAUUAUCCGGCAUCAUCAAAUAUUGCACAAAAUGGCGUUACUGGUGAAUAGUAAAUGCCUAUUCCGGAUACUAGUAAUUUGAAACAAAUGUACUAACUUCGAUCACGCAAGCUGAAUCAAGAUUUUAAACGAAAGGCAAUGUCAAGGGGAAGAGGAGGUCGAACAGGAACUGCAAAUGGUGCAGGAUCAAAGCCUACCUCUAGAGCUGGUUCAAUACGGUCAGGAAUUACAGCAGUUUCUGAGUAUGAUGAUGAUGACGGAGAUGAUAGAGAGACAUUGGGAACUGAGAUGUCGGCAGUUAUGCCCAGGCAACAGUACAGGCCUCCUGCAAACUUUCACAGCCCAAACAUGGCUCGAUUUGAGGAAUACAUAGAAAAGACAGAAGUGCAGACAAUUUUCCGAAAGCUUCUGAACAUUCUGCUCAGCCGGCCUGAAUUGCCGUACAACCCCUAUCCAGGCUUCUGUGGCAGAAUCAGAAUGUACCAAGAAAGGUUUCACCUCGAAAAAGAAAAUAAAGAAACGAUACUGAGAUAUUUAAGAAAUGACCUGGAGAGUUGCUAUGUCCAGAAUCUGUACACAGUUAAGCACUAUCGCAAUGUCUGGGGAACCAGCAGCAUCCUCAAGGUCAUUAAUCCCGAUUCCUUGGAGAAGUAUCGAUGGCUUGUGAACGAUGUAACACCUCGUCUAGAGGAUCUCCCCUCGUCUGAAGGCUACUCUAACCAGGUGAUGGUGGCGCUGAUCGGCCCCGCAGUGUUUGACGGCUCCUUCUACAAGUCUGUUCACUCCGUACAGAUUAGGCUCGAAUACCUUGUUGCGGGAUUUGACGUCACUCAGGGUAUUUCUAUCUUUGUAAACAGCCUGAUGCGGGAAAUUGACAGUAUGUUCAGCAGUCCACACCACUUCCUGUUAGGUGUGAGUGUACCAGCUCUCAGCCCACAGAAUCCAGAUGUCUGGAUCAAACACUACUGGGAACCUGAGAAAAUACAACAGGAAAAGGAGACAUUCCUUCAGAGGCUCAGUGAUGCUGUCAUUGGCAACCGCUACAUUUCUGUUGAGUGUAUAUUCCUGCUAGACCCCUCAUAUGUGUCAUAUGUAAAAGGUGAAAAGCAGUAUGGGUUCAAUUUCAUUGAAGUUAUCGAAGAAAUGAAGGAAGAAGGGCUUUCCAGUUUCUGUGAGUACCCAAUGGCCAGUCUUCACGAGGGUGUGUUCUUUGACCAGGCCCAGGCUGAGGCGUACAUGUCUGUCUUUCACCCGCAGAUGGCUGACUUUGAAACAGCAGAACCAUAUGAGGCAGGGGAAGGUGCCCCACCUCUUAGCCCAGGCAUUGGUUCCUUGAGCAAAGGCUCUGCAGCUGGAAACCUUAACGGUAACGGUCGCAGUAAUGGGAAUGAUAGUCAAUCCCGUGCGGCCUCAGCACGCUCCAUGAACCAGCGUUUCUCAGCCAAUCAGGCUCGAGAUGUGAACAAUGUGCAGAAACAUGUGCAUGACAGGCUUGACCAUGUGAACCCUCGCAGGGUCAUGAUUGACGGCUUUCGGUUCGGUGAUGAGAAAUCUACAGGACCGUUUGCCUGGCAGAUUACUACACCGAUGAAGGCUAACUAUCAGCGUAAGAUUGCUGGGUAUUGGCGAGAGGUGGAGCUCUUUGACAUUGUCUACAGUGUCAUCAUCCUUGUACUCAUGAACAGGGAAGCAUAUGGAGACGACAUUCUGGUGGAGGCGUGGCGGAUGCUGCAUGCGACCUCAGGCAGUCUCUACCUGCUCAUGGAGUACAAUAAGAGUCUGAGGGCUGUCAUACAGGCAAUUGCCACAACAUCCGACUAUGCGGUCAUUCAGCCAUUGUUGAAACAGUACCAGGACACUGUUGUGGAAUUCCUUCUUAACCCACUACUGGAGAGAAGUCAAGACCAUAGGACUGUGGGAUACUCAAUCCUGUCCAGGGUAGAGGACAUGAUCCGUGCACCAGAUAUGGAGUUUGGGUCUGCUACUCAUCUCCAGUUUACAUUGCGGGGCCUCAAGAACAUCAAUCUGUAUCUGCUACCUCUACUGAUGGAGCUUGCUGAGGACAGUCUACAGAACUGCCCGGUCAUUUUGAAACUGGUGAACACGUAUGAAGAGACAUUUCCUGAGGAAGAUCCCCGUCCCCCGACACGAUACAAGAAACGUGCAGUAGCAACAUCAUUCCAGCCCGGGGAACAUGAAAGUGUAGAAGAUGAGGUCAUCAAACACGGCGUUGAGGAUGAGCACAUCAAGAGACAUGAGACCUCAGUGAUAAACAUUAAGGCGUGUAUAGCCAAAGACAUGUCACCCCAGGCCAUGGUUAAAGAGAACGUCCUGAUGAAGUACAUGUUGGACAUUCAUGUGGAUGAGCUAUGGAAUGGAUACCUGAUAGAUCUUGCUGGGGGUGACGUCUUCCCUCCCAACCCCUUCCCACGCCUGAUAUCUGCACUCAGGCAGUGUGCCAUGAGAAUGGACCUGAUGUAUGACAAGUCCAGUGUGGUGACAGAGAAGAUGUUCAACCUGGAAGUGAAACUAGAGGACCAGGAGAACUACGUGUACCAUGUGCCGGGCAUUGACGCUCAUGGCCCCCUGACAGCACUGAUGAUGCUGGACACUGGUAUAUACGUGUCCCUUGCCCAGAUCUUCCAGAAGUUUCAACAGAAGACUUACAUCCAGAAGAAGGGCCCGUACCGUGUGGGUAUCUGCCUGGCCCUUUGCGGCCCCUGCACCUGGUAUGGACGGGUGCAGCCGUACCUGAAUGAGAUUGAGCUCCAGGAGCACUACUACAUCCAGGGGCCCUCUGGCUGCCAGGGGGAGGCCAUUCAGCUAUGCUCAGUCAUUGUUCACAAUCACCUGGUGGACCUGAUCAACAAUUCUGGUGUGCCAGUAAUGGGUGUGUACUUUGGCAAGCCUGCGCCUGACCACUGGACCAGUGAAGACAUCCUCAACAAGAAGAAGGGCUUUCUCACCCAAUUUGCGUAUAGCUGCUCUCAAAAACAACCCAUCUAUGUCAAGGCCUAUGUAUUGAUUGAGGGCUGGCGCUAUGUGACAAUGACCAAACAUUUUCUGCUCCAUUUUAUAGAGAGUGGCUCAAGGACACAUAUAUUCUACGAGGAUGAUCCUGCCUCAUUUUAUAAGUCAGUCUUCCUAAGCAAAGACAGGGCUGCGUUUCACUACCAGAACUGUGGGCCGCCGCAGGGUGGGAACCCUAUGAGUCCAGCCAAUGUGCGUGCAGUCAACCCUCACAUUGAGAAGCACAUGUACGAGUGUCAGCGCAGGUGUGACUGGCUCAACUUCUAUAGGCACCUGCUGCUGAGAGACCUCAUCAGCCAGGACCAGAGUCACCUGGCUGACUGCUGGAGGAUGUUACACAGCAUGGGCGGUCAGGUGGAGUACGUUGUAGGCAUGAUGGAGGUACUUCAGGAUCUGGUUCUCACCUGUCUACAGUUGGGCACAGAGUCCCAGGGCGGCGUGGCAGGUAGCACCGGCAGCCUCAGAGGCUCCCGCAGAAAGAACCCAGUGGAGCAGAAAGCCUUGACUAAGAUGGUGAUGGCCUUUUACCAGAAGUUGAUGUACGUGACAGAGGCUAGACUGACAAUGGCCGCCCGCUCCCUCACUGACUAUAUCGAGAACAAGCUCAAGUCCGCGCUUGAGUUUGACCCCGAGACUGGACAGCCAUAUCUGGCAUUGGAAGACAAGAUGAACAAAUUUCGAGAGCUGGCACAGGAAGCAGACCCCGCUCCUGACACUGUUUCCGGGUCAUCUGUGGAACGUCUUGAACAUACAACAAAGGCGUUAAUGUUCAAUAUCCAUCUUCCGUCUGGAGGAGAUGAAGAGUAUUCUGAGGAUCUACCAGGACGUGCUGAGCAGUGACGUGAGGAAUAUAUGUCAGGACGUUGACAUCAAGUACGUGCCCCGACGACUGGCCACACCCAAGAUGGCUGUCAAUGAGCAGAAGAACGGCAAACCAAGCGGAACUCUCAGGUUGUCCGAUCGGACUCACAGACAUCAAGCUGACCCAUACCUGUCCCAGCCAGACGUGUAUCACCAGACUUCAAGGCCAGGUCAGUGUGGCUUCCAGUAUCCUUGACAACCCCGACUACUACCGCACACGGCACAACCCCAUGAGACCCAUUCGGGAAUGAAAAUUAUCUGGGAGAGACAGGAAUGAAUGACAAUGCUGAUUGUGUGUUCAAUGAUCAAACUUAGCACAUACAGGCCUAACAUGAAAGCAAACCUGUAACUGUGUUGGUAAAACAGGGCUAGAAACUUACCAUUUGACAACUAGGCUAAACUAAAGAGACUGUUAUACUUUGUGUGUACAUGUAUAAUCUCAAGGUGUUUAUGUCUAAAUGCUCAAUGUGAAAAAGAAACUGUUCUCCUUGUUGUUAUAUGUUAUCAGGGCCAAGAAUAGUUGUGUGGAAUAUUUAGUCAAGAACAACUGCUUUUUACUUAAAUUAAUAUCAAUUAGUAUGUCAACAUGAUUAUAUACGGUUUAAAAAUA
Molecule: RNA transcript, 4683 nt
Organism: Dreissena polymorpha
Lineage: Eukaryota; Metazoa; Mollusca; Bivalvia; Myida; Dreissenidae
Exons: 32
Source: RefSeq, a predicted model, not a curated record